UAAGAAUUUUAUUUAUGCAAAGACAAUUUU
This 30-nucleotide non-coding RNA is filed under the name Rattus norvegicus (Norway rat). Lineage: Eukaryota; Metazoa; Chordata; Mammalia; Rodentia; Muridae. The record is from RNAcentral.